UCCUGAAAAAAAAAGAGGUGGUGGAAAACACAGCAGCAUACAGCUUAAGCAUACAACAUAUCUGCCCAAUACUGAGGGAAAAGGCAAAAGUCAUUAGCAUAUAUUUCACAUAGUCUACAGAAUGUACACAAGCCCUGGAAAUCAGUCCAUGCCGUUCAGGAUUUGGUCAUAUCGACCAAUCAGAAACCAGCUUUCUUGUAUCCCACCUGUGCCGUCUGUGUCAGCUUAUAUUCAAAGUCUUUGUCUCUACCCAUAGGUGACAAGGAAGGGGCCCGAGACAAUUAUAAAAGAAGAAGCGGCUACAGCAUACAGAUUUCCCUUUAAAAAA
Sinocyclocheilus grahami is the source of this 328-nucleotide long non-coding RNA. RefSeq lists it as uncharacterized. Lineage: Eukaryota; Metazoa; Chordata; Actinopteri; Cypriniformes; Cyprinidae. The transcript has 3 exons. The record is from RefSeq and is a predicted model, not a curated record.